Long non-coding RNA from Mus musculus (house mouse), 2601 nucleotides. RefSeq annotates it as predicted gene 29417. The transcript is spliced from 5 exons. The record is from RefSeq and is a predicted model, not a curated record. Lineage: Eukaryota; Metazoa; Chordata; Mammalia; Rodentia; Muridae.
AUGGGGAGCCCUUGGGCACCCCAGCUCAGCCCAGCCGGGUGGACAUUCCAGACCUCACGUGAUAAAGGGGAGGCCAUUGGCCCUCCGGUCCCCUAUUUUAAAAACGGGGUCCCUCACUUUCGGUCCAACCUAUUCAUAAACAAAGCCAGGCGCACCUCGCUCUCCCCGCCGGAAAACAGCCCAUUCCGGGCGAGGACAACUUCCCCCAGGCAGCGAGUGGGGUCUGAUGCGGGGAGUGUGCGCCGCAGACCUGCAAGCAGCCGCCCCCGCAGGCGCAGCACCCGCCCAGCACUGCGAGUGAUCUGCGACCGAGCAUACUGCGGCUUGGGAAGGCUUCGGUAUAGGAGCGGCCACCGAGCGAUCACCGGAGCUAGGUCUCCCAGGCCCCGCGGCUCAGGCUGCGGGCGUCCCCCGCCCCUCCCAAACACCGACCCCUCCUUCCCCAUCCCUGGCUCUCCGCACCUGAACUUCGGGGGAACCCGCGCCGCCAAACUUUCCGCGGACUUGCGGCGAACUCCGGCCCCGGCCGCGCACGGAGCCCCGGGGGAGGAGAGGGAGGGAGGCGGGGAAGGGGAGAGGGUUGGCCUCCCGGGGGGGGGGCGGAGGAGGGCCCGACACCUACCGGCUCCGCGAGUCGUCCGAGCCGCCACGGUCGCCGCGAGGCCGAGGGGGAGGGGCGGGGCGGGGAGCUGCGCUCCGCUCUGGGCACCGCCGCGGUGCGCUCCGCUCCAGUCGCCCGCCGCGCCCGGGGCCAGAGCCGGAGUCGCGCCGCCGCGGCUGGCCCAAGGCGGGGAGGGGGGGGGAGCCUGCAGCACCUGCCCCUCCUCCCCCUCCCCGCGGCCCAAAUUAAAAAACAACAAAAAGCAACUAAUCACCCCGGAGCGCAGCGCCUCGCGGCGCGGCGGGCGAAGGACUCGGCGUGCGGCGCCCGGACUCAGCAGGCGGUGCGCAUUGCUAGGCGCAGGCUGGGACGCGGGGCUGGGCUGUCGGGGAUGAGGCUCUCCUCUUCUGGCUCUGCUCGGACGCCUGAUCUCGCCGCCGCCUCUACAUCCCAGCUCAGGCUCCGCCGCCUCUGCCGCCGCGCCGCGCGCCCGCCCGGGCAGGAGCUCCGAACGCUGCCCGGGGGCUGCCGGCAAAACCCGGACCGGACUAGCGGCUCCCUCACCCCCCCCUCUCCACCUCGGAUUCCCUCCCUCCUCCGCGGCCUCCCUCCCAGAUCAGCUUUGGCCACUUGGACGCCGCAGGCUCUGAAGCUGGAGUCGCAGCCGUUGCGCCUCAAGAUCCCCGCGUCCUGGCGAGGUCCUCCCAGGCUGAGCUCCCCCACGCGUCAAGCUUCACCUUUUUUCCAUGCAACUUUACAAAUACAUAAGUAAAUAAAUACCACAGGACCCCUUUGUAGGAGAUGCCUGGGCUUGGAGACGCACCUUCCGUGGAAAAUCCGCAGACCUUCUGCUCCCUGCUCAACUGUUCGCUGGGGCAACAAGCUACAGGGAUUGAGAAGGAAGGUUUGGCAGCUCAGCCCUCACCCCCACCCCCCAGCUCAGGUGCUGCUCGAUCUGCCAGACUCUCAGUUCAAAGACCGUACCCUUCCCAAAUACACUUGCCUGCAUUCAGUAGACCCUAAUUCCAACGGAAGAAAAAAGGAGGCAGAGUCCUGCUCCCAUUUCACAGAUGAAGAAACUAAUCAGAAAGAGGACAUUUUGAGUUUUUUAGGAGGCAGGCUCCUACCCAACUAUAAUCCUGGGGCAAAGCAUGUACACUGGUGCCCUAGAGCUGUGGCCUAUGAACAGGGAGCCUGUAAUAGUACCUGGAACCAAGCAACAUUCAGUAGAUAACUAGCUAAGAACUAAAUCUCAGCCCUGCGCCUGGUGGGAACAGCAGUUUUGAGACAGCACCUAUUCCAUCUGUACCUCUGUCCUUUGACCAAGUCCCCUCCCUUAUCUGCCCAGCUUGGGCUAAUCCUACCUACAUCUGAUGUCUUCUCAGAGAACCAUAGAAUGAGCCCUGGACUCCUAUCUUCCUGGAGUGAUAGUUCUGCAGUCUUGAGGGAUUUGAGUGGGAGGUCAGGGUUGCAGUAGUCAGACCUUCAGGCCAGAGAAAACAGCCUCCAGACCCAUGGGGAUUUCCGGAGCAGUGAGGGUGGGAGCAUCAGCUUGGUGGUAAGUAUUACCAUCUAAUACCAAUUGAAGUCCAGAUAACAGAGAGUUAACUGCAGUGGCCCGGGUGCCGCCAGCCACAGACUCUGGCCUCUAUGGGAGAAGUGAAAUCGCCUCCCACAGCUGCUUCCUCUCUGGUUGUGGGUCUCCCUAGAGCCACCCUCCAAGCCAUCUGUGUAUGGACUGAUGGGGCAGAUGGAGUGGGGUGGUGGCAUGUCAAGGACAGAGCUCACCUGGGUUGUUACCUGUCUCCCACUCUGACAUCCCAGACCACAAGGUGACUCCGCCCAGCUCUAGGAACACCCCCUUGCCAGUUCCUACCUACUGUCAAAGAAUGGUCUCCUGGAGGAGGUGUUUAGCUCCCCUUAACCUCUAGCUGAUUUCUUCAUAGUCACCCCCAAAGAAGCCUGUCAGCUAAGUAAAAAGGCGCUUGCAAUGUAAAUAG